This 1346-nucleotide ribosomal RNA is filed under the name uncultured bacterium. RNAcentral describes it as "bacterial SSU rRNA". It matches the Rfam family "Bacterial small subunit ribosomal RNA", at positions 28 to 1381 of the family's 1533-position model. The record is from RNAcentral.
GACGAACGCUGGCGGCGUGCUUAACACAUGCAAGUCGAACGGAAAGGCCCUGCUUUUGUGGGGUGCUCGAGUGGCGAACGGGUGAGUAACACGUGAGUAACCUGCCCUUGACUUUGGGAUAACUUCAGGAAACUGGGGCUAAUACCGGAUAGGAGCUCCUGCUGCAUGGUGGGGGUUGGAAAGUUUCGGCGGUUGGGGAUGGACUCGCGGCUUAUCAGCUUGUUGGUGGGGUAGUGGCUUACCAAGGCUUUGACGGGUAGCCGGCCUGAGAGGGUGACCGGCCACAUUGGGACUGAGAUACGGCCCAGACUCCUACGGGAGGCAGCAGUGGGGAAUAUUGCACAAUGGGCGGAAGCCUGAUGCAGCAACGCCGCGUGCGGGGUGACGGCCUUCGGGUUGUAAACCGCUUUCGCCUGUGACGAAGCGUGAGUGACGGUAAUGGGUAAAGAAGCACCGGCUAACUACGUGCCAGCAGCCGCGGUGAUACGUAGGGUGCGAGCGUUGUCCGGAUUUAUUGGGCGUAAAGGGCUCGUAGGUGGUUGAUCGCGUCGGAAGUGUAAUCUUGGGGCUUAACCCUGAGCGUGCUUUCGAUACGGGUUGACUUGAGGAAGGUAGGGGAGAAUGGAAUUCCUGGUGGAGCGGUGGAAUGCGCAGAUAUCAGGAGGAACACCAGUGGCGAAGGCGGUUCUCUGGGCCUUUCCUGACGCUGAGGAGCGAAAGCGUGGGGAGCGAACAGGCUUAGAUACCCUGGUAGUCCACGCUGUAAACGGUGGGUACUAGGUGUGGGGUCCAUUCCACGGGUUCCGUGCCGUAGCUAACGCUUUAAGUACCCCGCCUGGGGAGUACGGCCGCAAGGCUAAAACUCAAAGGAAUUGACGGGGCCCCGCACAAGCGGCGGAGCAUGCGGAUUAAUUCGAUGCAACGCGUAGAACCUUACCUGGGUUUGACAUGGAUCGGGAGCGCUCAGAGAUGGGUGUGCCUCUUUUGGGGUCGGUUCACAGGUGGUGCAUGGCUGUCGUCAGCUCGCGUCGUGAGAUGUUGGGUUAAGUCCCGCAACGAGCGCAACCCUUGUUCACUGUUGCCAGCACGUUAUGGUGGGGACUCAGUGGAGACCGCCGGGGUCAACUCGGAGGAAGGUGGGGAUGACGUCAAGUCAUCAUGCCCCUUAUGUCCAGGGCUUCACGCAUGCUACAAUGGCUGGUACAGAGAGUGGCGAGCCUGUGAGGGUGAGCGAAUCUCGGAAAGCCGGUCUCAGUUCGGAUUGGGGUCUGCAACUCGACCUCAUGAAGUCGGAGUCGCUAGUAAUCGCAGAUCAGCAACGCUGCGGUGAAUACGUUCCCGGGGCU